AUGAAGCUAAGAGGUGCCAUAGGAAAAUGCUGGUAUCGGCCUGAACAAGAACUGGGGAAGUCUAGAAGAACAGCUCAGAGAUUUUCUGCAGCCUGGGGAAGCAACAGCAGUGCCUCUUCUCUUAUUUACAUGCUGCAGGCAAAAAUCAGGAAGUUCCUCCUCGGUUUUGUUCCUGUGGUCAUGAGAAUUAGCUGGAUAUCAAUGAACUCAGCCAAAACAAUUUUUUGUCACCUAAGCACCUCUUGCGAGGAGUAUCCUGCUGUGUUCAAGGAUGAAAAUUUGCUUCCAAGCAUGAUUUACCAGGUCCAGCAUCACACCCGUAUUAACAACCAGUGCUGGCUUUUCUCUUCAGCCUGUGCAGUUGAGGUCUUUAUUGCCAGAACUGUUCAAAUAAUUGUGAAAUCACUGCAGACUCACGUCCCUCCAAUACACUAA
Molecule: long non-coding RNA, 435 nt
Filed under: Anser cygnoides (Swan goose)
Lineage: Eukaryota; Metazoa; Chordata; Aves; Anseriformes; Anatidae
Description: lncRNA (ENSACDG00005001870.1)
Source: RNAcentral